UUUCAUUCUCACAAAGUGCCUAGGAGCACGUGCUAGAGCUGGCUCUUCACGAAGAGCCCGCUUACCUUCUCUCUCCUCUUCUCUUUACUCCAACUAAGCAAAAAUAUACUAGUUUAUUUCAUAUAGCCUGCUGACUCAUCUCUAUUAUAUUUGCUCUAAGCUUCAGGCUUCGAUAGCAUGGUAGACCCCGCUGGUCAUUGGGAAGACGCGGGGGACGGCGUGCCGGUUUCAAACUUGGUGUUCCGCGUGUCAAUUGUGUGGGGCAUUGCGGUCUUCCUGGCCUUCCGUGGCUCGCUUCGCCUGCUCGCCAGGGGAGAAAGGGAGGCGGUUCCCUUUUUUUGCGCCUAGAGAGGGGAGGCGGUUUCAGGGGUAGAGAAAGCUAUCGACGCAUCCAUCGCCUCCCCCAAUCCAACGCCUUGCUUCACCGCAUGUCCCUCGACCCACUCUUGAGGCUCACCGGCGUCGACACCGGCUGCAGACUGCUCCCAGCUUGUCGUCCAUCUCUCUGAUCACUUCUACCAUCUUCACGUAAGUCUUGCAAGCUCUCUCUCUCUGUGGAACAUCAGGCCGCUUCGGGGAUGGGGCAGGAGAACGAGGUUCGAUCUAGCCCGGUGCCCAUAUGUGUUUGAGUCGAGGUGGAAGGACAAUGAUGUUACAUGGCACUUUAUUAACCUGGAAUACCGACCCGUGUUACGGUGGCGUCUCUGUCUCCCAUUCGCCUGCUCCUUCCGUCAGGUUCCAAGGUUUCUCUGUCCUUGAUGGUCCGAUAAUUAUUAUUUUGCAGAUCCUGACUAGGAGAUCAUCUAGAGGGGCAAGUAGCAGAGUUCCAAUCUUAUGAGAUGGAGGAGAUGCAUAUCAAAGAGAAGAUUGUCCAAUCCAGAUUUGCUUCCUUCACUAACUGCAGAUAUGUAAAUAAUACCAAUUAGUUGAAAUUCACAUUGAUGUGCAGAUUGAUUUUA
Triticum dicoccoides is the source of this 959-nucleotide long non-coding RNA. RefSeq lists it as uncharacterized. Lineage: Eukaryota; Viridiplantae; Streptophyta; Magnoliopsida; Poales; Poaceae. The transcript has 2 exons. The record is from RefSeq and is a predicted model, not a curated record.